UUUUUUUUGUUUUGGCAAGAGCAUGAGAGCUUUUACUGGGCAAGAAGACAAGAGAUGGAGAGUCCAGCCGGGCCUGCGCUUAAGUGCGCGGUCUUGCUAGGCUUGUAAGUUUCUUUCUUGCUAUUCCAAACGGUGAGAGAUUUCUGUGCUUUUGUUAUAGGACAAUUAAAACCGUUUCAAUACAACACACUGUGGAGUUUUCAUAUCUUUGCAACUUUUUCUUUGGGCAUUCGAGCAAUCGGGGCCCAGAGGUUAACAAACACAAACAAUUUUAUCUAUUCAUUAAAUUUUUGUCAAAAACAAGAAUUUUCGUAACUGGAAAUUUUAAAAUAUUAAAAACUUUCAACAACGGAUCUCUUGGUUCUCGCAUCGAUGAAGAACGCAGCGAAAUGCGAUACGUAAUGUGAAUUGCAGAAUUCCGUGAAUCAUCGAAUCUUUGAACGCACAUUGCGCCCCUUGGUAUUCCAGGGGGCAUGCCUGUUUGAGCGUCAUUUCCUUCUCAAACAUUCUGUUUGGUAGUGAGUGAUACUCUUUGGAGUUAACUUGAAAUUGCUGGCCUUUUCAUUGGAUGUUUUUUUUUUCCAAAGAGAGGUUUCUCUGCGUGCUUGAGGUAUAAUGCAAGUACGGUCGUUUUAGGUUUUACCAACUGCGGCUAAUCUUUUUUAUACUGAGCGUAUUGGAACGUUAUCGAUAAGAAGAGAGCGUCUAGGCGAACAAUGUUCUUAAAGUUUGACCUCAAAUCAGGUAGGAGUACCCGCUGAACUUAAGCAUAUCAAUAAGCGGAGGAAAAGA
Molecule: unclassified non-coding RNA, 792 nt
Filed under: Saccharomyces cerevisiae (brewer's yeast)
Lineage: Eukaryota; Fungi; Ascomycota; Saccharomycetes; Saccharomycetales; Saccharomycetaceae
Description: sequence contains ITS1, 5.8S rRNA gene, ITS2, 28S rRNA gene
Rfam family: 5.8S ribosomal RNA (bases 338-491)
Source: RNAcentral